GCAACACACCUUUGGAGGGGAGGCAAUCCCGCGCUGUGUUAGCUAACUUUUCAUGUCAUCAGGUGUAGUUCGUAAAGGUUGCAGUGUGUAUCUUAGGACGGUAACGUUAUAAUAAUUAAGGAUGACGUGUGAAUUCAUGCCAGGAAUAAUAAGGGUGAAGUUUGAUUUCCUCCCUUCUGUAAUAAGCAGCCAAUGAGUUCUCACGGAAGGUGAUAAUUCUGACUAAAACUACAGAAUAAAGCCGCCAGUUAAAAUCAAGGAACGGUGGUGCUCGUGGUUACUGGAGGGAGCUACAAGAGUUGUUGACCAUUUUCAUCAACAUUGGUCAUAUUGGCUUUGAUAUGAUGGUAUGGAGAUUUUCAUUUAACAUUGAACUUCAACCAAUCCCUACUAUUAAUACCAAUACUAUACUAAUAGUUUGUUACUUUGCUUGCAGACAGAAUAAAAUGGCAAAAAAUCUUCA
Oncorhynchus nerka (sockeye salmon) is the source of this 463-nucleotide long non-coding RNA. RefSeq lists it as uncharacterized. Lineage: Eukaryota; Metazoa; Chordata; Actinopteri; Salmoniformes; Salmonidae. The record is from RefSeq and is a predicted model, not a curated record. The transcript has 2 exons.